AUGUUGUCUAGUGGCAGCUACGGCAAGAAGCUGCUCCCGUCCGUGUCAGCAGAAGCAGAAGCGGCCACGCCCUCGCCGUCACAGGCCGCUCCGCACCUCCGGCACCGGCCCGGUGCCGGGAGCGGCGGCGCCGGCAGCGAGCAGGACGAGGAGGACAUUGACGAGUCGAUAAUGGCGGCACGGCAGGUGGGGCAGGUGGCGCACGUUCGGAGCCAGGCGUCGACGCAGGCGACGUGGAAGGAGUGGCCGCACCGCGGCAGCACCCGGAGCUCCUCCCCGGUGGCCAGGUCGGCCAGGCAGAUGGCGCACUGCUCCUCCAGCUGGUGCCCUUCUUUCACUGCCGUGACGGGGAGCGCGUCGAUGGCCUUCUUCUUCAGGCCUCGGGGAGGAAGAGGCAAGGUCAUGGUGAUGCUAUUGCCGGCGAACGGUGAAGAGCGGCGGGCGUGGCGGCAGGUGCAGCGCGCGACGAGGGCGAGGCCGGCGAGGCAGACGAGCGCGCAGAGGAGGGAGGCCAGGAUGACCACCAUGUUGGGGUCGAUGGAGAUCAUGGCCGCCGGCGCCGACGAGGAAGAUGAGGAGGCAGCUGGGUUGGGGGCAGCGGCGGUGGUGCUAGAGCUAGAGUGGACAAGGCUCGCUGGAGUGCGCAUGGUGGUCGACGUACGGUAA
Molecule: ribosomal RNA, 666 nt
Filed under: Triticum aestivum (bread wheat)
Lineage: Eukaryota; Viridiplantae; Streptophyta; Magnoliopsida; Poales; Poaceae
Description: partial small subunit ribosomal RNA
Source: RNAcentral